RNAcentral lists this ribosomal RNA (348 nucleotides) under uncultured bacterium. RNAcentral's name for it is "bacterial SSU rRNA". It matches the Rfam family "Bacterial small subunit ribosomal RNA", at positions 8 to 350 of the family's 1533-position model. The record is from RNAcentral.
AGAGUUUGAUCCUGGCUCAGGAUGAACGCUAGCUACAGGCUUAACACACGCAAGUCGAGGGGCAGCAUGUUGGUUGCUUGCAACCAACGAUGGCGACCGGCGCACGGGUGGGUAACGCGUAUCCAACCUACCCUUGUCCAUCGGAUAACCCGUCGAAAGGCGGCCUAACACGGUAUGCGGUUCACAGCAGGCAUCUAACGUGAACGAAAUGUAAAGGAGAAGGAUGGGGAUGCGUCUGAUUAGCUUGUUGGCGGGGUAACGGCCACCAAGGCGACGAUCAGUAGGGGUUCUGAGAGGAAGGUCCCCCACAUUGGAACUGAGACACGGUCCAAACUCCUACGGGAGGCA